UUGGGUAUUUGCCUACUUUUGAAUUUGAUAAAUAUUAUUACUUUAUUAUAAUCUAGGAUAAAAAUAAUGUCGUAGGCUGAAAAAAUAUUAAAAUCCAACAAAGAUUUAUAAAGUUACAGGCAUUUUAAUAUUGGAGUGGGAGGGUCUUCUAUCUCUUUCUCGCAAAACGAAUAUUUGUACGAAACCGCACGAAGCUACUAUGGCAUUUAUCAAAAU
This is a long non-coding RNA of Maniola jurtina (meadow brown), 216 nucleotides long. RefSeq lists it as uncharacterized. The transcript is spliced from 3 exons. The record is from RefSeq and is a predicted model, not a curated record. NCBI's taxonomy places the organism in Eukaryota, Metazoa, Arthropoda, Insecta, Lepidoptera, Nymphalidae.